AUGAAUCGUAUAAAAAUAAGUAAAAAGAGGAACCUGAGUGGUGGAUAUUUGAUGUGGAUAUGCGGAGAACCAUUGCUUCGAGCUUCCCCGGCAAUCCAUCAAAGGUGGUGGAGGUCACGUCGAACGCGGUUUGCAAUUCAAAGGUUUUUGAGCGGCACCGCUGAUGGCAGUUGGUGGUCUUCGGAGUUCUUACGAUCUGCAGAGUCAGAUGUUUUUGGCGAAGAGCAAGACGCAGAGGCAUGUGAAGGAACUUUAUGUUUAUCGGUUCUACUUCUUUUUUCUGCCUUUCUGCAAAUACAACAAGCAAAAGACAAACAAUAA
Non-coding RNA from Vicia faba (fava bean), 321 nucleotides. The record is from the annotation of a GenBank genome assembly. NCBI's taxonomy places the organism in Eukaryota, Viridiplantae, Streptophyta, Magnoliopsida, Fabales, Fabaceae.